GGGUCUGAAGCUCAACGGUCGAGCAGGGUGCUCAUAACACCUUGGAAGUGGGUUCGACUCCCACCGGACCCAC
This 73-nucleotide transfer RNA is filed under the name Gemmata obscuriglobus. RNAcentral describes it as "tRNA-Met". It matches the Rfam family "tRNA". Rfam says of the family: Transfer RNA (tRNA) molecules are approximately 80 nucleotides in length. Their secondary structure includes four short double-helical elements and three loops (D, anti-codon, and T loops). Lineage: Bacteria; Pseudomonadati; Planctomycetota; Planctomycetia; Gemmatales; Gemmataceae. The record is from RNAcentral. RNAcentral also lists the same sequence under 1 other name.